CAGUCGUGAGGAAGGUGGUAGUGUUAAUAGCACUAUCAUUUGACGUUAGCGACAGAAGAAAGCACCGGCUAACUCCGUGCCAGCAGCCGCGGUAAUACGGAGGGUGCGAGCGUUAAUCGGAAUUACUGGGCGUAAAGACGCAUGCAGGUGGUUUGUUAAGUCAGAUGUGAAAGACCCGGGGCGUCAACCUCGGAAUAGCAUUUGUAAACUAGGCAGACUAGAGUACUGUAGAGGGGGGUAGGAAUUUCAGGUGUAGCGGUGAAAUAGCGUAGAGAUCUGAAGGAAUACCGGUGGCGAAGGCGGCCCCCUCGGACAGAUACUGACACUCAGAUGCGAAAGCGUGGGGAGCAAACAGGAUUAGAUACCCUGGUAG
This 373-nucleotide ribosomal RNA is filed under the name uncultured bacterium. Its description in RNAcentral is "bacterial SSU rRNA". It matches the Rfam family "Bacterial small subunit ribosomal RNA", at positions 434 to 793 of the family's 1533-position model. The record is from RNAcentral.